This is a long non-coding RNA of Talpa occidentalis (Iberian mole), 2121 nucleotides long. RefSeq lists it as uncharacterized. NCBI's taxonomy places the organism in Eukaryota, Metazoa, Chordata, Mammalia, Eulipotyphla, Talpidae. The record is from RefSeq and is a predicted model, not a curated record. The transcript has 3 exons.
CCUCCCAGGGAGGUGGGACCUUGCUUUAGGGAGCGCUCCCCUAAAAUCUCAGUGUCUGUAGACAACAGAUAAGAUGAGGAAGGCGGUCCCGUUGCCCGUGUAGUCCAGCUGCACCAGCUGGCAGGGCAGCUCCGGGUCGUCCAGGUACUUGAUGGCGCUCGACUGGAACAUCAUGGGCACCGUCACUACGCGAUCCGCGUUCACGUGGAAGUCCCCUUCCCUGGUGCUCUCCGGGUCAAAGGGCUGUGCCCACGUGCCUGGGGAGAAGAGGGGAGGCAGCUUUCAAGGAGAGGCCUCUGCAGGGGCACCAGGGCCCUUGGAAGAAUCGGGAGUACCUGUGAAGAAGAUGUAGUUGACCAGGAUGAGGCUGGCUGGGCCAUCCAGUUCCAUGAACAAGUCUGAGAUUUUCCCCUGGGUCUUAUUCUUGAUAUGCUCUUUGAUUUGUCUGUCAGUUCUGGCCCAGUCCUGGAAAUCUGUCUUUAAGGCCUCCAGCUCAUAGUAGCGCCUGGUAUCUGCCAAGAACAACUCCGGAAGCUCCAGGCUGUGGUCCAGGAACAAGGCGCUGCCCAUGGUCAUUUCCAAGCUAGUGUCUGACUCCCCAAGGAGGCGGUGGAGGUGUCGGAAGCUCUGAUGGAUUUCAGCCUCAGAUAUCUCACUGAGGUUGAAACCCAGACCCUGGAGGAUCUGGGCCCGCGUGUCGCCCCUGGCGCCCAGAGACAGCAUAGCCAAAACCAUCGAGAUGCUGACAGGCGAGAUGAAGACAUUCUUGCCAGGAGUGGAGGCCACGAGAUACUUAUACAGGCUGAAGGCAAAGUCCACAUUGUUAGGAGCCAGGUUCCGGUGAGGGCCCCUGGGGCUCACGUCAGCACUGGCAUCCUUGGCGUGGACAGUCCAGAGGCCCGUGGUCGACAGCCAGAGGAGACAGGUAUACGGAAGGAGCAGCAUUUUCCAGUGUUGCCAGGCCCUGCCGAAUCGGGAGUGCUUGUUAGCUGACGUGGCCGUGUGAAUGGCGGGGGCUGAAAAAGAUGUUCCAUACAGAGCGUGGGUGUGGCUCAUGGGCAGUUGUGUGGCAAAGAGUGUGACAGUUCAGUACAGAAUCACUAUUUGAUCUCAGAAUUCCACUUCUGAGUGUAUGCACAAACGAAUUCGUGAGGGGCUCAAGCAGAUGGACCUUGAUGUUCCUACCUAUAUGAUUCACAAUGGCCAAAAGAAAUGGAAACAGUCCAAAUGUCCACCAGAGGGUGGACAGGAGAAAUGAGGUUGUGAAAGGAGAACAUGCCUUUGUUUCUCCUUUACUCGCACCUCGCUGCCACGCUUUGACACUAGACGUGUGGAUUUUCUACACAGCCAACAAUUUUCUGGCACCUGCUGGGCGUCCUACGCUGAACUCAGUUCCGACAUCUUCGUCCGGAGAGGGCAUUAUGCCCCAUGAGCCAAGCGCUCUGUCCCACUGCUCUCUCCACUUCACCCACCAAUUGCAAGUCCCCCGGUGUCACCCAUAUUUCCCAUGGGCUAGAAAUCAAGGUCCCCGCAACCCUCUCCCUGGGUUUGGAAUUUGCUAGAAUGGUUCGCAGAACUCAGGGAACACUGAGCUUACCAGCUUACUCGAAAGGAGAUGACUAACGAUUUGAACGAGCAGUCACAUGCAGAGACUCACAGGGUGAGGACCAGAGGGGUCCCCAGGGCAGGAGCUUCUGUCCUGUGUGGUUGAUGUGCACCCCUUCUUGCCGGGGGAUGUGUGGACUAACACGGCAGCUCCUUGAACCCCUGUGCUUUGGGGACUUUUAUACCUUCAUCCCAUUUCACCUGAGCAUGAUUGAUGAUUAACUCAGUCUCCAGGCCUCUCCCCUACCCCGGGCACAGGGAAUGGGGCCCAGAGGGGCAGCUUCUGUUCUUUCUGGUGACCUGCCCCUGCCUGAAGUGAUCCAGGAGAUACCCAGGGGCUCUUCCUGAGAACAAGAGACAUUAUUAUCACCCGUAAAUCUCAAGGGACUUAGGGAUUCUGUCAGGAACUGGGGUCAAAGACCAAACAUUGGCACAAAAGAUGCUGCCAGGGCAUUGCCACUUAGGGAAUCGCAAGGAUUUCAGGCUCUCUGUGUCGGAAACCAGGGCAGAGACCAA